GAUGAACGCUGGCGGCAUGCCUAACACAUGCAAGUCGAUCGGUAAGGCUCUUCGGAGUACACGAGAGGCGGACGGCUGAGUAACGCGUAGGAACACACCCUGCAGUGAGGGAUAAGACACCGAAAGGUGUUCUAAUACCGCAUACGGUCUUCGGAUUAAAGCAUUUAUGCGCUGAAGUAGUGGCCUGCGUCAUAUUAGAUAGUUGGUGAGGUAAUGGCUCACCAAGUCGAUGAUGUGUAGCUGGUCUGAGAGGAUGAUCAGCCAGACUGGAACUGAGACACGGUCCAGACUCCUACGGGAGGCAGCAGUGAGGAAUAUUUCACAAUGAGCGAAAGCUUGAUGGAGCAAUGCCGCGUGCAGGAUGAAGGCCCUCGGGUUGUAAACUGCUUUUAUAAGAGAAGAUUAUGACGGUAACUGAUGAAUAAGGGACGGCUAACUACGUG
Molecule: ribosomal RNA, 443 nt
Filed under: uncultured bacterium
Lineage: Bacteria
Description: partial 16S ribosomal RNA
Rfam family: Bacterial small subunit ribosomal RNA
Source: RNAcentral